RNAcentral lists this unclassified non-coding RNA (1624 nucleotides) under uncultured fungus. Its description in RNAcentral is "sequence contains 18S rRNA gene, ITS1, 5.8S rRNA gene, ITS2, 28S rRNA gene". The stretch from base 675 to 1624 matches the Rfam family "Eukaryotic large subunit ribosomal RNA", at positions 1 to 961 of the family's 3401-position model. Lineage: Eukaryota; Fungi. The record is from RNAcentral.
GGAAGGAUCAUUAUUAAUACUUGGUUAACACCAGUAAUUCAUGUGCAAAACAACCUGACGCUGCCAGUAUUUGCAUUGUGUCUGCCCUUGGGUAGGCAUUAGUCAUACCUGGCAGCAGCCCUCAUUGACUUGUCAUUGUGGGCAAACGGGCUUCCCUCAAACUCUUGGGUAAGAGGAAGCCUGCAACUUUUAUACAUCAGUCUUGAUAAUCCGUCAUCAGGGAGGAGCUGCAAGGCACUACCUGCUCUGACAUUAAAAGGGUAAAAAACUUUUAGCAACGGAUCUCUAGGCUCUCGCAACGAUGAAGAACGCAGCGAACCGCGAAAUGUAAUGUGAAUUGCAGAGUUCGUGAAUCAUCAAAUCUUUGAACGCACAUUGCACUGCUUGGAAUUCCAGGCAGUAUGUCUGUUUGAGUAUCUGUUAACCAUCAAUGGAUUCCCUGGGCUUAUGCAUUCUACCAAGGGUGUACGAGUCCUUGGAAUCUGUUGGAAAUGGGGCUUCUUGUGGUAACACUUAAGCCCUCAAAUAGAUUUCGACUUGUCCUGCGACAAGUCUGUAGGUAUUCCUUCCGGGGUCUACUUGCACCUACAUCUGAUAUUGAAGAACCAUUCCUCGAUACCAUCAAAGAUGUAGGCUUGACCGAGUACGAAAGCCUAGGCUCUAGUCUCAACUCAUGAUCUCAAAUCAGACAAGACUACCCGCUGAACUUAAGCAUAUUAAUAAGCGGAGGAAAAGAAACCAACAGGGAUUCCCUUAGUAAUGGCGAAUGAAGCGGGAAUAGCUCAAAUUUGAAAUCUCUUAUGAGAAUUGUAGUUUGUAGAGGCGACCUCGAUUGGCAGCCUGGGCAGAAGUCCUCUGGAAUGGGGCAUCAUGGAGGGUGAGAAUCCCGUGAUUGGCCCAGGUACUGUCACACUUGAAUCGUCUUCUAAGAGUCGGGUUGUUUGGGAAUGCAGCCCAAAGUCGGUGGUAUAUUCCAUCUAAAGCUAAAUAUUGGCGAGAGACCGAUAGCAAACAAGUACCGUGAGGGAAAGAUGAAAAGAACUUUGAAAAGAGAGUUAAAAGUACGUGAAAUUGCUAAAAGGGAAACGAUUGAAACCAGUGUUGUCGUGGGGAAAUCAGCCGUCUGGGUAACUAGGCGGUGCACUUUCUCUGGGGCAAGUCAACAUCAGUUAUCGGUGGGGUAAAACGAGUUUGGAAUGUAGCUGCUUGCAGUGUUAUAGACUUUCUCUAUGCCCCGUCGGUGACUGAGGACUGCAGCGUGUUUCGGGUUAAUUCACCAGAGCGCUAAGGAUGUUGACGAAAUGGUUUUAAACGACCCGUCUUGAAACACGGACCAAGGAGUCUAACAUGUGUGCGAGUACUAGGGUGUUAAACCCAUGUGCGCAAUGAAAGUAACUUGAUGAGAACCUUUACAGGUGCACCAUCGACUGGACUUGAAGCUCGCUGAUAGUCCCAAGUUAGAGCAUACAUGCUAGGACCCGAAAGAUGAUGAACUAUGCCUGAGUAGGGUGAAGCCAGAGGAAACUCUGGUGGAAGCCCGUAGCCAUUCUGACGUGCAAAUCGAUGGUCAAACUUGGGUAUAGGGGCGAAAGACUAAUCGAAUUAUCUAGUAGCUGGUUCCCUC